UCUGUUCUUAGUAAGUCUACACUGGAAACUAGCUUAUCUACUGUCCUGAGUUCGGUAUAUUAGAUUCUUUCUUUCUAGGCCCAGGAAGUUUUAGGGGGCCACCCUCAAAGUUGUCUUAACUCUAAGCCUUGGUGCCUACCUCUGGGUAAAAUUCCCAAUGGAGCCUGUGGACUGUUCUCUCUCAUAUUUUCAUCUCUAUUUUAAUUGCCAGAGGGUACUGAGAAUCCCAAGCCCUGGAGAUAUUAUAUACAGUUAAUACUGUCAAAUUUUUGCUUUGGCAGAAAAACUCUUGGUUUAUAGUUUCUUUGACUGCAAUCUCCUGCUACUUUCCAAAUUCUUGAAAAUCGUGACCUUGUAUGCCCUGUAGUCAAUUCAGGCUUUCAACUAGCUGCUCUCAAGCUGUACUUUUUAGCAGCUAGCACAAUUUUACAGUAAUCUCACAUGAAGAACAUGAUCAAUACAUGUUUAUCGAAUGAAUGAAAAUUCCAACCAUGUUUCUUCAUCAGAAAGGCUGUUGGAACUGAUUCUUCAACCCAGAGACCCUGGGCAACAACUAAUUAUUCCUUCUUAUCUCAGGUUAAAUUCAUAGCCUCUCCAGAUUCCAGUCUAGCCUUAGG
Molecule: long non-coding RNA, 617 nt
Filed under: Bos taurus (domestic cattle)
Lineage: Eukaryota; Metazoa; Chordata; Mammalia; Artiodactyla; Bovidae
Description: long non-coding RNA NONBTAT023182
Source: RNAcentral